Molecule: long non-coding RNA, 2812 nt
Organism: Nylanderia fulva
Lineage: Eukaryota; Metazoa; Arthropoda; Insecta; Hymenoptera; Formicidae
Source: RefSeq, a predicted model, not a curated record
GUCAGCGUCGAUCGCCUGCUUUACACGCUCGACCAUGUCCGCGAUCUUCACGAUUGCUCCGAUGUCCCUCUUCCGCUUAUCGCCCACAAAUUCCGACGAGUGACGACGCCCUGUGAGACGUUCGAUUUACGGUGCACCCGCGGCAGUCUCUUCUCUUUUCGGAAGCGACAAGAGGUUCCAAGAGUGGACGGGAUAUCGGAUACAUAUACAAGAAAUAAUAUCUCUGUCACGAUUCUGACGAAUCUAUGAUGGUAGAGAGUGAAUGGUACCGUGUUUAUAUCGAUAUCUCUUCUGCUUGGAGAGUUAUCGAUUCAUCACUCAUUUCUCCUUUUAUCGGAAAUCCGCUAUCAUUUGAUGAUCCGAUGAGAUUGAUACGAUUCAAUAAUAUAUCGUUAUACCUGGCAAUGAUGAAAAUCCGUUAAUGUGAUUAUCAGUUGCCGUGAAUAUUGAUGAUGUAUCGGACACAUUACUGCAAAGUACAUCGUUGAUAUAAAGUUCGAAUAAAUAAUUCUCAUUACCCUUACGUCACUUUCGAGAAAGCCGAAGAUAAAUAUCGAAAUUAUAAGAUUUGGCCGACUUUUGCGACUUGCGAUGAUAUACAGUUCGUCUGAAUUAUGGAUAACAGCUGUAGCCCCCUUCCCUUCUUUCCCACGUAAAAUCCGUAUUACGAGCCAAAUCUUCUCCGAGAGAUGCAAAUUACCGAAAAAUCUUGGGAUGGAUUUAUGACAUUCAUCUGCAUGGUCGCCCGAUAAACAAAUGCAGAUGAAGCGUAAGAUUCGUCCAAAUCUUAUUAUGCAUUUUGCCAAAUAACGCAAUUUAAUAAAAUUUAUUACACGCCAUCAGAACCGUAAUAUAUGUAUAUAUGUAAUUUGCAUUCGUAUAGACAUAAAUUAUCUCUUGGCAAGACGAUAUAUGUAUUUUUUGUCUAAUAGUUUUUAACAGAUUUAUUUAUGCAUCUUAUAUAUUAAUUUUUUGACAUUUAAAAAAUAAACAUAUACAAGAAUUAAACGUGAACAUAAAUUCAAGUAGAAAAAAAAUAUUUAGAAUGACUAGUUUUUCAGUCAGCAUUAUCUCAUUAUUUUAUAGCACAUCUCAAUUCAUUAAUAUCUGCAUUAAAUUGCUCCUAAAUCAAUGAUACUUAUAGCUAGAUCUCAUCUUUUAAUCGACACAGACUGGUCACACUACCAACGAGAUUUACGAGACGUUCGACCACAGAGAUGAGUGUCUCUUAAUGUCAUUAGCGGUUAAAACCUUUUUUCCAGCAUCUCUUUCUCAGCUCUUGAACGCUUUGAUCGACACGGCCUUCUUUCCACCAACAAGGAAUCACGACGAGUGAUUCGAGACACGCUUGUCUCGCACUUGGAAUGCAGGUUCCUGGCUUGUUCGUCUAUCGGAUAACAGUUAGAAAAACUCUACAGCCGGUUUCCUAGUGGCGUGGAAUGCAUCUUCAACAAAGCGAUCGAUGCCCGGAUACAAAUAUUUAAUAUGCACCGUUUGCAAUUUUUCCGAAAACAUACAAGCAAUUAGAUUAGAAUUUCCAAUAAUUAAAAAGUGAUGCGCAUCAACAUCAUUAAAUAACAUCCAUAAUCACCUAACCGAUCCAUCUAUCUAUUCUCGUAAUAUUCGCAUAAUAUAUUUUACGGAAGAAGAUUCGUUAAAAAGCCCCAUGAGCGAAUUAUAUCCUAAGCAGGAUAUUUCCUUAGCAUCCAUCCCAUCAGCGAAGUCAGAUAUUCCGAUAGAUAAAAGACUUGGCAUCGAAUCUCGAGUAUGGCGGACAAUCGCUCGAUUGCCGGCCGUCGAAACGGAGAUUUCGAGAUAUUCCAUAAAUGUAAGAUGUUCGAUGACUCGGGAAUCGGCUCGGCGAAUCGUUGGGUGGACGCGGAGAGCCAGAAGGAGAGAAGAAGAUACGUCGGGCACGUAGCGCAGGAGCCAUCAAUCCUCUCGAGACGUAGACGAACAGCCGUGGGCCACGGCAAAGCGAACCGACAUCAGUCCCCAUUCUCCUCCUCCUCGUCGUCGUCGUCGUCGUCUUCUGCAAUGCGAAAAGACGAAGAGCGCUCGGAAGCCGAGAACGCGUAGACGCGCCGAUAGAAGCCACUACUUAGCAAGCAGGCAUGUGUCAUGUGUCUUAAACCAGGUCUGGUCUCUCUCCCCCACAUCUACUCCGGACCUUUCGGAGUUCCCUCGAACUCCCCGCGACGAUAUCAAAGGACCGCGCCUCCUUUGGAAUUCUCUAGUUGUUAACAUUUAACAGUGAUGCAUCCCAUGCAAUUUUUGUCGCGCAUACCCGUCGAGUUUUUUUCCGUCGCGGCGGACUCUCCUUCCCGAUUCUCGCAAUUUCUAUAAUGAAACGAUUUGAAUUAAAAAGAACCCGUGUGGAAAAUUAAAGUCAUCAAUGUCCUGUGACUAUCUAGUUAUUUAUAAUUUUAACUCAUCACUGUCUAACUUUAUUGGCUAAUAGUCUGGUAAAAAUGUAACGCUAUUAUAUGUGAGAUGUUAAUAUUAGUAGCUUACAGAUAGAUAACUAAAAUAAGCUCAUGGCUGGCUAGUAAAAAUGAUAAAAAAAAUUUUUUUAAUUUUAUUUUUUUUAAUUUUAGGUGUACUGUAGCAUUUUUAUUUUAUUGGCAUCUCCGAUUAUUACUGGUAAAUUAUCUCUAUAGGUAUUAGUUAUUAAAUAUUUUUUAUUUUUAUCUACCUUUUUCUCUGAAAAAAUCCUUGAUACCGAGGAGAUUCGAUCCUGAGACCUUUGCAUUACCAUGGACGUUCCUCACUAAGCCAAGCUCGAAUUGAUAUAUUCGAUAAAAAAAAAAAA